This 722-nucleotide ribosomal RNA is filed under the name uncultured Fusobacterium sp. Its description in RNAcentral is "bacterial SSU rRNA". It matches the Rfam family "Bacterial small subunit ribosomal RNA", at positions 28 to 776 of the family's 1533-position model. The record is from RNAcentral. Lineage: Bacteria; Fusobacteriati; Fusobacteriota; Fusobacteriia; Fusobacteriales; Fusobacteriaceae.
GAUGAACGCUGACAGAAUGCUUAACACAUGCAAGUCUACUUGAACUUCGGUUUGGGUGGCGGACGGGUGAGUAACGCGUAAAGAACUUGCCUCACAGUUAGGGACAACAUUUGGAAACGAAUGCUAAUACCUGAUAUUAUGAUUUUAGGGCAUCCUAAGAUUAUGAAAGCUAUAUGCGCUGCGAGAGAGCUUUGCGUCCCAUUAGCUAGUUGGAGAGGUAACGGCUCACCAAGGCGAUGAUGGGUAGCCGGCCUGAGAGGGUGAACGGCCACAAGGGGACUGAGACACGGCCCUUACUCCUACGGGAGGCAGCAGUGGGGAAUAUUGGACAAUGGACCAAAAGUCUGAUCCAGCAAUUCUGUGUGCACGAUGACGUUUUUCGGAAUGUAAAGUGCUUUCAGUCGGGAAGAAAAAAAUGACGGUACCAACAGAAGAAGUGACGGCUAAAUACGUGCCAGCAGCCGCGGUAAUACGUAUGUCACAAGCGUUAUCCGGAUUUAUUGGGCGUAAAGCGCGUCUAGGUGGUUAUGUAAGUCUGAUGUGAAAAUGCAGGGCUCAACUCUGUAUUGCGUUGGAAACUGCAUGACUAGAGUACUGGAGAGGUAAGCGGAACUACAAGUGUAGAGGUGAAAUUCGUAGAUAUUUGUAGGAAUGCCGAUGGGGAAGCCAGCUUACUGGACAGAUACUGACGCUAAAGCGCGAAAGCGUGGGUAGCAAACAGG